ACGAACGCUGGCGGCGUGCUUAACACAUGCAAGUCGAACGGUGAAGCGCCUUCCUUUUUGGUGGGUGUGGAUGAGUGGCGAACGGGUGAGUAACACGUGAGUAACCUGCCCCCUUCUUCUGGAUAACCGCAUGAAAGUGUGGCUAAUACGGGAUAUUCUGGGUCUGUCGCAUGAUGGGUCUGGGAAAGAUAUUGUUUCGGUGGGGGAUGGGCUCGCGGCCUAUCAGCUUGUUGGUGGGGUGAUGGCCUACCAAGGCGGUGACGGGUAGCCGGCCUGAGAGGGUGGACGGUCACACUGGGACUGAGACACGGCCCAGACUCCUACGGGAGGCAGCAGUGGGGAAUAUUGCACAAUGGGCGCAAGCCUGAUGCAGCGACGCCGCGUGAGGGAUGGGGGCCUUCGGGUUGUGAACCUCUUUCGCCAGUGAAGCAGGCCUGCCUCGUUUGUGGGUGGGUUGACGGUAGCUGGAUAAGAAGCGCCGGCUAACUACGUG
This 493-nucleotide ribosomal RNA is filed under the name uncultured bacterium. Its description in RNAcentral is "partial 16S ribosomal RNA". It matches the Rfam family "Bacterial small subunit ribosomal RNA", at positions 29 to 507 of the family's 1533-position model. The record is from RNAcentral.